RNAcentral lists this transfer RNA (60 nucleotides) under Colophorina flavivittata. RNAcentral describes it as "tRNA-Leu". Lineage: Eukaryota; Metazoa; Arthropoda; Insecta; Hemiptera; Psyllidae. The record is from RNAcentral. RNAcentral also lists the same sequence under 1 other name.
ACGUGUCAGAUACAAUGUAUUAAAUUUAAGAUUUAAUUAUGAAUUCAAGUUCCUUUAGUA